This 447-nucleotide ribosomal RNA is filed under the name uncultured bacterium. RNAcentral describes it as "bacterial SSU rRNA". It matches the Rfam family "Bacterial small subunit ribosomal RNA", at positions 355 to 825 of the family's 1533-position model. The record is from RNAcentral.
UGGGGAAUAUUGGACAAUGGGCGAAAGCCUGAUCCAGCCAUGCCGCGUGAGUGACGAAGGCCUUAGGGUUGUAAAACUCUUUCGUCGGGGACGAUAAUGACGGUACCCGAAGAAGAAGCUCCGGCUAACUUCGUGCCAGCAGCCGCGGUAAUACGAAGGGAGCUAGCGUUGUUCGGAAUCACUGGGCGUAAAGCGCACGUAGGCGGAUAGUUAAGUCAGGGGUGAAAUCCUGGGGCUCAACCCCAGAACUGCCUUUGAUACUGGCUGUCUCGAGGUCGAGAGAGGUUGGUGGAAUUCCUAGUGUAGAGGUGAAAUUCGUAGAUAUUAGGAAGAACACCAGUGGCGAAGGCGGCCAACUGGCUCGAUACUGACGCUGAGGUGCGAAAGCGUGGGGAGCAAACAGGAUUAGAUACCCGGGUAGUCCCUGAGCGGGCUGGCAAGGCGCAU